Molecule: unclassified non-coding RNA, 140 nt
Filed under: uncultured Ophiocordyceps
Lineage: Eukaryota; Fungi; Ascomycota; Sordariomycetes; Hypocreales; Ophiocordycipitaceae
Description: sequence contains ITS1
Source: RNAcentral
CCGAGUUAUCGCACUCCCAGACCCCCUGUGAACGCUACCAUACCGUUGCCUCGGCGGGGACCCGUCCCCUCCGGAGGACCCCCAAACUCUCGUUUCCACGCGGUGGCAUCUUCCGAGUUAGCGCGAUAGCGAAUCAAUCA